RNAcentral lists this ribosomal RNA (253 nucleotides) under uncultured bacterium. RNAcentral's name for it is "partial 16S ribosomal RNA". It matches the Rfam family "Bacterial small subunit ribosomal RNA", at positions 524 to 776 of the family's 1533-position model. The record is from RNAcentral.
UACGUAGGUGGCAAGCGUUGUCCGGAUUUACUGGGCGUAAAGAGCGCGCAGGCGGUCGUUCAAGUCGAGUGUGAAAGCCCCCGGCUCAACUGGGGAGGGUCAUUCGAUACUGAUCGACUCGAAGGCAGGAGAGGGUAGUGGAAUUCCCGGUGUAGUGGUGAAAUGCGUAGAUAUCGGGAGGAACACCGAUGGCGAAGGCAGGUCUCUGGGCAUUGACUGACGCUGAGGAGCGAAAGCAUGGGGAGCGAACAGG